Molecule: long non-coding RNA, 611 nt
Filed under: Mus musculus (house mouse)
Lineage: Eukaryota; Metazoa; Chordata; Mammalia; Rodentia; Muridae
Description: predicted gene 4876
Source: RNAcentral
GCAAUUCCGAGCUCGUUUCUUCCUCUCCUGCACAUGCUUGGCUAUUCUGACAGCCACACCGGCCCAGAGAGGGCUUUCUCCAAUCGUAAACUAUGUUCCUGGAACGUGAACUUCAUUUUGUUUGCCUUUCAAGAUACAGAAGUAUUUGGUUCUGUUUAUUUUUGUUCCAGAUGGGCAGGGCCCUCUUGCCUGUUCUGACUAAUCCACUCGUCAGGGCUGGAAUCUCCUAACAGUUCCUUCCUCCAGAGUGCUGUCACAUUCCCCCUCUACUGCCUGCUGAUCAAGAUGUAGAACUCUUGGCUCCUCCAGUACCAUAUCUGCCUGCAUGCUGCCAUGUUUUCCACUAUGAUGAUAGAAGACUGAACCUCUGCAACUGCUGGCCUGGCUACUUCCCAAAAUAGGAUCAGAGCUCCAAGGAAGCAGAGAGAGACAAGCAAGGUCUGUUGAAGCCCAAGCCUGGAACUGACACUAGCCCAUUCAAUACCUCAAAUUGGACCAAGGAAAUAACAGCAGUACAGACAAAGGGGAGGAAAACGACUGCAUUUUUCUUGGGAAGGACUGCAAAGAGUUAUGGAAUUCUUGUAAUUAACCAGUAAAGAGACGUACACCAA